This 265-nucleotide unclassified non-coding RNA is filed under the name Hevea brasiliensis (rubber tree). The record is from RNAcentral. Lineage: Eukaryota; Viridiplantae; Streptophyta; Magnoliopsida; Malpighiales; Euphorbiaceae.
AGUUUCUCAUUUGCAUAUCACACAUACUUAUCAGUUUCUGACAUAAGUGAAGUGAGGAUAGAAGGACUGGAAACACUUGACUAUCUAGACAACCUUUGCCAAAGAGAGAGAUUUACAGAACAAGGAGAUGCCAUAACUUUUGAAUCCGAGGUGGAUCGAGUUUAUCUUAGUUCUCCUAAUGUAAUUGCAGUACUUGAUCAUGAAAGAAAAAGGACAUUUGUGAUACGAAAGGAAGGUCUGCCCGAUGUUGUGGUAUGGAAUCCAU